UACGGAAGGCAGCAGUGGGGAAUAUUGCACAAUGGGCGCAAGCCUGAUGCAGCCAUGCCGCGUGUAUGAAGAAGGCCUUCGGGUUGUAAAGUACUUUUCAGUCGUGAGGAAGGUGUUAAGGUUAAUAACCUUAGCAAUUGACGUUAGCGACAGAAGAAGCACCGGCUAACUCCGUGCCAGCAGCCGCGGUAAUACGGAGGGUGCGAGCGUUAAUCGGAAUUACUGGGCGUAAAGGGCACGCAGGCGGUUAAUUAAGUUGGAUGUGAAAUCCCCGGGCUUAACCUGGGAAUGGCAUUCAAGACUGGUUAGCUAGAGUCUUGUAGAGGGGGUAGGAAUUCCAUGUGUAGCGGUGAAAUGCGUAGAGAUGUGGAGGAUACCGGUGGCGAAGGCGGCCCCUGGACAAGACUGACGCUCAUGUGCGAAAGCGUGGGGAGCAAACAGGGAUUAGAGUACC
RNAcentral lists this ribosomal RNA (454 nucleotides) under uncultured bacterium. RNAcentral describes it as "bacterial SSU rRNA". It matches the Rfam family "Bacterial small subunit ribosomal RNA", at positions 340 to 787 of the family's 1533-position model. The record is from RNAcentral.